CCUGGCUCAGGAUGAACGCUAGCGGCAGGCCUAACACAUGCAAGUCGAGGGGCAGCGGGUAAGUAGCUUGCUACUUAUGCCGGCGACCGGCGGACGGGUGCGUAACGCGUAUGUAACCUACCUUUGACAGGGGGAUAACAUCGAGAAAUUGGUACUAAUACCCCAUAACAUCACCGGAGGCAUCUUCGGUGGUUGAAAACUCAGGUGGUCAGAGAUGGACAUGCGUUGUAUUAGCUAGUUGGUGAGGUAACGGCUCACCAAGGCGACGAUACGAUAGGGGGACUGAGAGGUCAACCCCCCACAUUGGUACUGAGACACGGACCAAACUCCUAUGGGAGGCAGCAGUGAGGAAUAUUGGUCAAUGGACGCAAGUCUGAACCAGCCAUGCCGCGUGCAGGAAGACGGCUCUAUGAGUUGUAAACUGCUUUUGUACGAGGGUAAAUCCCGAUACGUGUAUCGGGUUGAAAGUAUCGUACGAAUAAGGAUCGGCUAACUCCGUG
This 500-nucleotide ribosomal RNA is filed under the name uncultured Alistipes sp. Its description in RNAcentral is "bacterial SSU rRNA". It matches the Rfam family "Bacterial small subunit ribosomal RNA", at positions 18 to 507 of the family's 1533-position model. The record is from RNAcentral. Lineage: Bacteria; Pseudomonadati; Bacteroidota; Bacteroidia; Bacteroidales; Rikenellaceae.